GCAUCAAUAAAUCAGGAGACACCUGACCUGUGUACCUGGACUAACCAUCCCAUCAUCAUAAAGAAAAGAAAAGAUAACUAUACAAAAGCCCAUGCCUUUUACAUUCGGGCAAAAAAAGGUGAAAGCCUGGACACUGAGCCGGAGGAUGGGGAUAAGAAGCGACAGAGAAAGAAGAAUUUGAAAUAUCACUUGGAU
Molecule: long non-coding RNA, 195 nt
Organism: Esox lucius (northern pike)
Lineage: Eukaryota; Metazoa; Chordata; Actinopteri; Esociformes; Esocidae
Exons: 3
Source: RefSeq, a predicted model, not a curated record